GCUGGGAUAGCUCACUCGGUACAGUGUGAGAAUCUUAAUCUCAGUGUUGUGGGUUCGAGCCCCAUGUUGGGCA
Molecule: non-coding RNA, 73 nt
Organism: Podarcis lilfordi (Lilford's wall lizard)
Lineage: Eukaryota; Metazoa; Chordata; Lepidosauria; Squamata; Lacertidae
Source: the annotation of a GenBank genome assembly